UUUUUUUGGAUUUUAUUUAUUUACUCAUGAGAGACACACAGAGAGAAAGAGGCAGAGACACAGGCAGAGAGAGAAGCAGGCUCCAUGCAGGGAGCCCGACAUGGGGCUUGAUCUGGGGACUCAUCCGGGUACUCCAGGAUCACACCCUGGGCCAAAGGCGGCGCUAAACCACUGAGCCACCCGGGCUGCCCCUCUUAAUUGUUUCUAAAGCUCCAGGAUAUACCCUGGAGUUACUGUCUCCUCAGUGUUUUGAUUUAUCACCUUCUAUGUGUAAGGCUUAGAGCUGGGUGUUUUACAAAUCACAGAUUUAUACAAGAUAUGAUCCCUUCCCUUUAGAAGUUUACAAUCUUGCAGGAGAGACGAAUUAAAUAAAUGCGGUGUGAAUGGUACUCAUCAACUACUAAGGGACAGUGGAAGAGGGCACUUCAGGGUGAUUAUUCAAAUCACAGACCAGGGAGUGUUUUGGUAAAAGAAAAUGAGCAGGGAUCACAGGACACCUGUGAGAAAGAUGACAAAACCCGGGUGGCAGCAUAAGAAAUGUGCAGUUAACAUUUUUGAGGGUGAGGCAAAUGGAAUAUGAUGCUGGGAUAAGUAGGAGACAGAUAAAAAUAGGACUUGGCCUUUAUCUUGUUAGGCAAAGGCCUUUGUUCAGUUAUAAUACUUUCUUCAGAAAGGCUUAUUGUCCUACGGUGUGUAGAAUGGGUUGAAUAAUAAAAAUGAAAAGACAAAAAGAGCAGUUAGAAAGAGACUGUCUAACAAGCAUGAAAUACUAACAUGUGAAUUUGGAAGAGAGCAGUAGAAAGAGAAGGAAUAAACCAAAACACAUAGCUCCUCCUGUUCUCAUGAAAAUGAUUAUUGAAAUAGUCAUAUCUAUUAUGUGUUGAUAUAUAAAGGCACAAAAUAAAACCAAACACUUGUAAACAGACUUGCAGGGAAAACUUUGCUUAAAUCAUCACAUAAAAGUUACCUAUUCUGCUUUGGAAAAAACAUUUAUAACAACUCCUUUCAAUGUGAAUACAGGUAGCAUAUACCAUUUCUUAAUAUAAGUCUUUGAUUAUAUUUUUGUACUAUUUUAAAAACAUUUAUUGUAGGUGGCCUAAAAAUAAAACUUCAAAAACUACAAUUAGAAAAUGUCUAUAUAAAAUGAAAUCUAUACUUUAUUACAACAUUGUUUAUAUGAACAAUUUAUACUUUAUUACAUACAAACUACUUUUUAAAAACUAUCAAGGUCUGUUUGAUUCAUACUAAUUUUAAGAUACCAAAAUACCAUGUGUGUCUCUCUAGUUCCUAAGAAUGAAAGAAGUAUCUUAUAAAUACACUUCUCUGAACCAACAUUAUUUUUAUGACCCAAAUGGAAAAAUGUAUAUACAAAUAUCCAAAAGAUAAAUUACCUGACCAUAAUAAUAAACCCUAUUUUUUUGAAACCUCAUAUUUACAUGUUACCUUUCAUAGGCAUAUACACAUCAAUUUGAUAAACUACUUUCAACUAAUUCAAAAUAUCAAAAUGUAUUAUUAUAAUAUAUACAACUGAAGAUCUUUGUUUUCUCUUGAUUUAAAUGUUCUCCGCCCCCAGAAAAUUCUCAAAGGCAAAUUUCUGGGAGGGGAAAAAAAGUGUAGCUUCUCUAUACAUUCAAGAAAUAUUUAAUCAAUACUUAGGAGUUCCUUCUAGAUGCCUAUCACUGAACAACAAUUUUUAAAGGUAUAAUUGAUUUACAAAAUGCUGUUACAACUUGAUGAGUUUGGAAAUAAGUAUACACUCAUGAAACUACUGCCAUCGUCAAUGCCAUACACAUAUCCAACACCUUCAAAAGUUUUUUCCCCACUCUCUUUAUUUUUUGUGUGAUUAGAACACUUAACAUAAGACCUACCUCUUGGAGUGGCUCAGUGGUUAAGUGUCUGGUUGAGGCUCAGGUCAUGAUCCUGGGAUCAAGCCCCACAUCAGGCUCCCUGCUCCUCUCCUUCUGCCCUUCCCCCAACCAUUCUCUCUCUCUCUCUCUCUCUCUCUCUCUCUCUCUCUCUCCUCUCCCCCCCAAAAUAAAUAAAAUCUUAAAAAAAAAGACCUACCUCUUAGCAAAUUUUUAAAUAUAAAAUACAGUCUUGCUAACCAUAGGUACUGUGCUGUACAGUAAAUCUCCAGGAUUUACUCCUCUUACAUCAUUUAAAGUUUAUACCUUUUGACCAAAACCUCAGUUUCCUCCUUACAGAAUUCCUGGUAACCACCAUUCUAUUCUCUGCUUCUAUGAAGUCUUUCUGGAUAUAAGUGCAAACGUGUAAUAUUUGUGCUCCUGCCUAGUUUACUUUACUUACAAUGAUGUCCUCUAGGUUCAUCCAUGUUGUCACAAAUGACAGGGUUUCCUUAUUUUUUAAGGUAUGGAAAUAAAUACUGCAUUCUCUUUAUUCAUUCAUAUGUGGAUGGACAUGUGGGUUGCUUUCAUGUCUUGGCUACUGCGAAUAGUGCUGCAAUGAAUAUAGGAGUGAAGGUAUCUCCUCAAGAUCCUGAUUUUAAUUUAUUUGGAUAUAUAUCCAGAAGUAGGAUUACUCGAUCAGAUGACAGUUCUUAAUUUUUUGAGGAACACUCUACACUGUUCCACAGUAGUUGUACCAAUGGAUGCCCAGGAUUAUUCUUGGUUCUUUCAGAUGUACUAGUGAUGAGCACAACAUAAAAAGACUCCUGCCCUCAGGGAGCUUUCAUUUUAGAAGAGGAAAAUAAUCAAUGAGCAAUCAUUUUAUAAGAUUAAUUUCAUGGCAGUCUUAAAGGUGAUAAAUGCUGUAGAAAAAGAAAGGAGAAGAGGCUUCCACUUUGAGUGGCCACCAGACUAGGCCUCAUUAAUAAGAUGCAGAUGGCCCUGUCAGCAAAUACAAGAACUUUAAUUUUACUACAACCAAGACAAGGGCUUUUCAGCAGAAGGAUGAUUUUCAUUUUUAAAAAGUAGCCAUAAUAUGCACUAUUAGAACGGGGUGUCAAAAAAGUAAAGUUGAGUUCUUUUAAAAAAGAAGAGGUAAGUAUUAUUAAAGAAGUUAGUGGACAGGACUAUGAAACAACUACCUCCAAUCCAGAACCCAAAAUAACAGCUAACAUAUAUAAUUAUGUCAAGUAUUGCUAAAGGUGCCCUGUCCCUCAUGACAACUCCAUGUGUGACCACAUUCGAAGGUCAAUAGUACUUUAUCCAUAUUCUGAACUCUAAAAAAGCUUAAAGCAAGCCAAUUUAGU
Molecule: long non-coding RNA, 3211 nt
Filed under: Canis lupus familiaris (dog)
Lineage: Eukaryota; Metazoa; Chordata; Mammalia; Carnivora; Canidae
Description: lncRNA (ENSCAFG00000058097.1)
Source: RNAcentral